Molecule: long non-coding RNA, 581 nt
Organism: Solanum stenotomum
Lineage: Eukaryota; Viridiplantae; Streptophyta; Magnoliopsida; Solanales; Solanaceae
Exons: 3
Source: RefSeq, a predicted model, not a curated record
UAGGGUAGAGCAUUGUUAAAUGCAAUUGGUAAUCUGGAGCUUACUGGUGCAUUUGCGGAAGCUUUGAAAAACCUUGGCCACAAUCUAGAAAAUGUGGCUUCUCAGGAGCCAGAUGCUGCUCUUGGAAAUGGGGGUUUGGGACGGCUUGCUUCCUGUUUUCUGGACUCUUUGGCAACACUAAACUACCCAGCAUGGGGCUAUGGACUUAGGUACAAGUAUGGUUUAUUUAAGCAACGGAUUACAAAAGAUGGUCAGGAGGAGGUGGCUGAAGAUUGGCUUGAAAUUGGAAGUCCAUGGGAAGUUGUGAGGAAUGAUGUUUCAUAUCCUAUCAAAUUCUAUGGAAAAGUCUCUACAGGAUCAGAUGGAAAGAGGUAUUGGAUUGGUGGAGAGGAUAUAAAGGCAGUUGCGUAUGAUGUUCCCAUACCAGGGUAUAAGACCAGAACCACAAUCAGCCUUCGACUGUGGUCUACACAGGUUCCAUCAGCGGAUUUUGAUUUAUCUGCUUUCAAUGCUGGAGAGCACACCAAAGCAUGUGAAGCCCAAGCAAACGCUGAGAAGGUAUACUUAAUCUAUUAAUUUGU